AUUUCUCUUUUGCUGUAGCUGCUCUUCUGCGCUCGGUGUCUCGACUCUCUUCUUCCGGAGCAUUUCUUAUCGGUGCUGCGAGGAAAACGCCAUCGUCGGCCCUCAAGCAUCGGUUUUUGUUGUUGUGCUUCGAUCAUCGCUUCACAUGUUGCAUCUAGCUUUGGUUUUCAGCUCUCGGUUCGAAUCCGACUGUUUUUGAGCUUAUUCCGAUCGAUUGAAUUGAUGUAUGUUGCGGCUUGAAGCUGCGAUAACUGGUCAACAUGGGGUUUGAUAACGAGUGCAUCUUGAACAUCCAGUCCCUUGCCGGAGAGUAUUUCUGUCCUGUAUGCCGCUUGCUUGUUUACCCAAAUGAAGCUAUACAAUCACAGUGCACUCACUUGUACUGCAAACCUUGUUUAACAUAUAUUGUGAGCACCACACGGGCUUGUCCCUAUGAUGGCUACUUAGUGACGGAGGCAGAUUCCAAGCCGCUUGUAGAGUCAAAUAAGGCACUGGCUGAAACAAUAGGCAAAGUAGCUGUUCAUUGUCUAUAUCACAGGAGCGGAUGCACUUGGCAGGGUCCAUUAUCGGAUUGCACUUCCCAUUGUUCCAGUUGUGCUUUUGGCAAUUCCCCUGUUGUGUGCAAUAGGUGUGGAAUCCAAAUAGUACAUCGUCAAGUACAGGAACAUGCACAAAAUUGUCCUGGUGUACAGCCUCAAGCGCCACAGGCAGAAGCUGGUCAGGAUGCUUCAGCCUCAGGUACAGCAGUUGCUGUUGAUCAGAGCCAGACUGUUACUCAAGCAGGAGCAGCAACUUCUCAGGCCCAGAUAUCUCAAGCUGCGGCCGUUACAUCAGUGCAGGAUAAUAAUUCACAGGUCAAUUCCAAUCCUCAGGUCCAAGCAGUUGCUCAGCCUGCUGUGCUAACUCAAGAACAGUGGUAUCAGCAGCAACAACAGUAUCAGCAGUACUACCAGCAAUAUCCUGGGUAUGAUCCUUAUCAGCAGCAUUAUCAGCAAUAUUACCCAUAUCAACAACAGGCUGUUCAGCAGUACCAACAGCAGCAUUUGCAGGGUCAACCCCAACUUGUUCCUGGACAACCUCCCCCCCAGGUUUAUGCCCAACCUCAAGCCCAGCCUCAGCCCCCAGCUCAUUCCCAGACCCAACCACAAAUCCAAAUCCAACCUCCAUCUCAGCCUCAGCCUCAGCCACAGCCUCAACCGCAUCCACAUGUCCAGGCCCCUGUGGUUGCUCAAAACCAAACCCAGACACCAGUUAAUCCACAACAGCAGCUUCAUCCUGUGGUGCAGCCACAUUCUCAAAUUCCGUCGCAGAUUCUUCCACCACCACAUGGUCAGCCUCAGCCUCAGCCUCAGCCUCAGCCAUAUUCUCAAGCUCAGACCUAUGCACAGCCCCAUCCUGUCCAGCCUUAUGCUGCUCAGCAUCCUCAAAUGCCUCAAUACCAGCAACCACAUCCUCAGAUGCAGCAUCCUCAGUCUCAACUACAGCCUCAACCGCAUUCUCAGCACCCUCAGCACCAUCCUCCUCCCCAACCUCAAUCUCAACCUCAUCCACAAGUUGCCCCACAAGCACAGGUUCAACAUCAUGCCCAGCUCCAUAACCAACCCCGCCCUGCUCAGCCCACCCCAACCCCCAAUCCUACUGCUCAUCCUCAGAUACAGCAUACCUCAGCCCUUGCAGUGACAGGCCACCACUCUUACCCACAACCUCAGCCUUACCAGCAAAUGCAAUCGGGAGCUCUACAACAGCAUUCCAUUCAUAUGCACUCCCAGAGUGGGUCCCACCAACAGCCUCAACAUCCAGGUCAAAUGCAGGGUCAAUUCCCGCCACAGCCUCCUCAAAUGCGCCCCCCACAAUCCCAUGUUCCUAUGCCAAACCAGCAACAGCCAGCUUUGUUACCUUCUCCUGGUCCCGUCCCAAACAUGCCUCCUGCACAACCUCAGCCUGCUUACCCUCAUGGUCUGCAACCUGGUCAUCCAGCCCAACAGCGUCCUGUUAUGCAGUCGAUGCAGCAGCAGCCAUUGCCUCCGCAGUUUGUCCAGCAACAACAGCAAGCUUUUCCAGGACAACCAUUGGGUUUGGCGCUGAAUCAAUUACACCAGCAAGCUCCUUUUGUGCAGCAGCAGCAGCCUAUACAGUCUCCAAUACGACCCCAGGGGCCGCCUCAAUCACUGCAGCAGCUUCCUGGGUAUCCGCAGUCACAGCAGAGUGCUGCAUUAUCACAUGGCCUACAGUCUCAACAGCCUCUAAAUCACAUUGGGAGGCCUAUGAUACCAAAUCAGGGCUUACCGUCACAGCCAUAUCCACAAUCUCAUGGUGGAGUUACUGGUGCAGCUCAUGUGAGGCCACUGCUACCUAGUUCAGGCCAACUACCUGCUACUCAGAAUUACCCUCCCAGGGCUAACAGUCAAUUGCAGUCGUCUUCAGAACAACAGCUCGGUUACAUUCAACAGUCUGCUCAUUCACAAUCUGCAGCAACUUCAAAAACAACUGUGUUUGAGAAACAAGGUGAUAACAUUUCUGAGAAAAAUGUGGCAGAGCGAGAUGCUGACUCAGCCUCUCAGAAAACUGACAGGAAGGAUGGAAGUGGUUUAGUUGUGACAUCUGAUCCUGGGGCCGAUUCAGUUGAUUUGAAAAGCCUUAAGUCUGAAUCUGAUAUUAAAUCUGUUGGUGAUGAGAAGAAACAGGAGAUUCAAAAUGAUAAGUCUCCAAGUAUUGUAGAAUCUAUGCAUGCUCAGACUGCAGAACCUGAGACACAUGCAACUGAAUAUGGUUUGGAUCCUGUAGUCAAGCAGAUGGUGAAGAGAGAGAGUGCAAAUAAUACAUUGGAAACUUCAGCCACCGGCAAAUCAGUUGAAAGUGUAGUUGAACAGAAAGUUGUUUCUGAUGUAGAACCUAAACAAGGAGGGCAUUCUUUUGAAGGCAAGGAAAUUCAGGAGGGCUCUCUUUCAAAAAGUCCUCUAGGUAAACAACUGGAAUUUGUGGAAGAUAAGAGAGGGAAGUUGCAAAAUGAUGCAGUGGAUUCUCUCACAAGGGCCGAUAAGGGUUUGCAAUUUGUUCCUCCAGCAUCAGCACCUAUUUCUAGUAAUUCUGUGCAGAUUGCCCAAUCCAAAGGACAAAUUCCUGGGAGUGAAGGGGGCAGUUUACAGACUCCUCCUUUUAGUAGAGAUACUCUACAUCAUCAGGAAAGGAAUAUGCCUCAAGGUCCCGGUGUUGACGAGUACAGAGGCUUUCCUCCACCUGGUCAGGCACAAGGCAAGGGUUUUGCGCACCCUUCUCAUUCUGUUCCGCAUACUGAUCCAGGAAGGCAUCAGCUGCCACCAAUGCCUUAUGGGCCUUCUCAUCAGCAGAGGCCAGAUGCAUCCUUAAUGUUGCCAGUGCCUCCCCAGGGACCCCUACAUCAAGCUCAGGUUCCUUUGCAGCCUCCCAUGCAGCUAAGGCCUCAUGGCCCAGGGCCUUUAUCCCAACCAGGACAGCCUUUCCCUCCACCUGAACAUUUGCAGCCCCCUCUGUUGAACCAACCUCAUGGUCCUUUUCGUCCUGAAAUCCCUCCUGGUGGUGGUUUCCCUAGUGGGGGCCCUGCACUACCACUUGGUAGGGGACCAGGUCAUAUGGGUCCUAACCAGAGAAACUUUGAACCACGGUCUAUUACUCCUCAAGGGCCUUACAAUCAAGGUCAUAUGCCCCCUCCCCAUGCUGGGGCGCCUAGGACAUCUCAAGGUGAGCUUGUGGGAGGUCCACCAUUUGGGGGACCACCACCUCGCGGCUCAUUUGAUUCCCCUGGUGUGAUGAUGGCGAGACCACCUCAGCAUGGUCCUGAUGCUCAUGCGGGGCUGCAGCGUCCUACAAACCCAAUGGAAGCAGAAAUGUUUCCAAAUCAGAGGCCUGGUUACUUUGACAGCAGACAUUCUGAUUCACACCUUCCUGGGUCUUUGGAAAGGGGUCCAAUUGGGCUUAGUAAAAUGAAUGGACCUUCCGGCCCCGACUCCUCAUCUGCACUUGGGUUAAGGAAUGGGAGAUUCAAGCCUCUGCCAGAGGACCAUGUGAAUUCCUUCCCAAUGGAACCUAAUCGCCGUGUCAGUGAUAGAGUGGAGUAUGAAGAUGACCUUCGGCAAUUUCCUAGGCCAUCUAAUUUGGAUAUGGAGCCUGGUCUAAAAAGUACUGGUAACAUUUCCUCAUUGAGGCCUGUUGACAGGGGUCCACAUGGGUUGGGCAUGGAUGCUGCACUCAGGCCUCUUGAGAAGGCACCCCAUGGAUUCAAUUAUGAUGGUGUAGUGAAAUUAGAUUCUAAUGCAAGCACUGGCCCUCCCAGAUUCCAUCCUCCUUUCCAUCCUAGUGGUACGUUGCAUCCCAAUGAUGCUGGGGAAAGAUCUCGUCCUCUUGAUAUUGGUGGGAGAGUAGAUCAUCCUUACUCUCGUCCUGAUUUUCUUGAACAAGUUCCUGGAUUUGGUAGGCAUCAUGUGGAUGGGAGAAGCCCUGCUAGAGAAUACCCUGGUGCUCCCUCACGUGGAUUUGGAGGGCUCACUGGUGCUGUUGGCAAUCGUUCUGGAACAGAUGAUGUUGAUGGCCGGGAAUCUGGUCGAUUUGGGGAAGGAUCCAAACCUUUCAACCUAUCAUUAGAUCCAAUAGGCAAUACAUUUAACGAAAGUAGGUAUGCAGGUUUGCCCAGCCGUAUGCGCAGAAGUGAUUUGGAUGGCCCUGGGAAUUUGCGUACGGGUGAGCAUUUCCCACCUGGUCCUCACAGCCACUUGAGGAAUAGUGACUCCCUUGGCCAAGAUAGUUUGCCCAGUCAUUUACGGAGGGGUGAACAUUUUGGUCCCCGUAACUUGCCCAGUCAUUUGCGUUUGGGAGAACCAGCUGGCUUCGGGGCCUUUCCUGGUCAUGCACAGGUAGAUCUCCCUGGGAUUGGUAACUUUCCUCAGAAUGUGCCUUUUGGUGAAUCAUUUAGAGGGGGCAACAAGCCAAAUCAUCCUCGUCUUGGUGAGCCUGGAUUUAGGAGCAGCUAUUCCCUCCAGGGAUUCUCAAAUGACAGUGGAUUUUUCAAAGGUGACAUGGAGCCUUUUGACAACUCAAGGAAGAGGAAGUCAUCAAGCAUGGGAUGGUGCCGUAUUUGCAAAGUUGAUUGUGAAACAGUUGAGGGUCUGGACCUGCAUUCUCAAACUAGGGAGCACCAAAAGAUGGCUAUGGACAUGGUCCUAAGCAUCAAGCAACAGAAUGCAAAGAAACAUAAAACUUCCAAUGACCAUUCCUCACUUGAAGAGGCAAGCAAGUCUAGGAAUGCCAGUUUGGAUGGUCGUAGCAACAAGCAUUGAGUUAUGGCGGUGUACUACAGUGUUGACUGAAGUGAUUUUGUUGCUGCCUUGGGAUCAGAUUUUCCUUCGGUAUUGUUGCAUUUAGUGAUAUAUAGGCGAUUCACCCUUAUGUCUCUUUUCUGCUUGCGGGAUGUUUUAUGUUACCUUUGUCCUUUCAGGUUGCUGCCAUGUUAAGGGAGAUGGUUUUUGGAACUGAACUUUCAGUGGCAGAAGUGGCAUUCUUUUUGGCAGAGGAUGAGUGCAAAAGUUGUCUAAUAUACACGUGGGAUCUUUGAACACAAAAGUGUGAACCAAAGUUGCCUAGAACGUGGAAUGUCCUGGUUUGUGGAAUAGGAACGGGAUUGCAGUAUGGCACAUGAUGUGGAAUGUUAGAGGUAUAUUUAAUUUGAUAUAUUAGUGAAGUGUAAUGGCACUUGUAUAUUUUGGAGAUGUUGAGCUAUUUCUAAAUCUAGAAAAGAGUUUAUUUUGUGGAAUAGAUUGACGACAGAAAUAGAGUUAAAAUGUGAUGAUUCCUCACUUUUACCUAAUAAAAUUUUUUUGUGAAAGAUAUUCAACUAAAUUUUUGGAUAGUUAGAUUUAGGAUUUCAGAAUGAAAAUGUACCAUAUUUUGGAAUGUCUGUACCUUAUGUGGUUUGCUAGGGUUUCAGCAUUUUCUGGUAACUAUGCUGUGAACAAAUUUAUACCAUUUGAGAUAAGUGACUGUGAACUGUGUUUUAGCUUGGUUUCAGUUUACAAAAGCUCCCAAUUUGGAGUUUGUGUUUAACAGACAUUAAAUAUCAUCUUAAAUAACAAGAUCUUUGAACGAGAGUUUGAACAAGUUUGCACUUGUAAAGGUGGUUGACAUUGAACUAGGUUUGUUUCAGUUGACAGGUGCCCCCUGUUGGAAAUUUAAUUGUUUUUGUGUGGAAAAUUACAUCUCAACUUGGAUCAGCCCAUCAACACAUAACAUGGCUUUAUUUUUAUAAUUACCUAAUUGUAAAAACGGAAAUGUUUUCUGUGGGACAAAGGAGGUUCAGAACUGCAAUUCUAUCCUGCUAGUUCUGUGUGACUGUUAGAUUCAUCUUUUUGAUGGUGAACUUUUGCCCCGUUAGAUAUCCAAUAAUAUCAACUGCAGGAAUCUCAGAAAUAUGGCAAUAGGCUGACAUCCUCUAGUCAUCAGGAUUGUGGAGGAAAAAGUAGGGCUGUUUUCAAGGUGAUCCGCUUGUCUUCUAAUAUACUUUUUCCACUGUUUAGGAUAAAACCAAGUACUUAUGACUCUCUGCCUCUGCGUGUGGUUUUUCUAUGUUAAUGGGGAUUAAUUUUUUUCCAGUGUUGUAUUUUUUCUUAGUUUUAAAUACUGUUAUUUAGAUAUAACGUUCUUCCUCAUGUAUUGCUACUAUGUUACAUUGUGCACAUCCCAGGCUUGGAUGAUGGAAGAUAUUUUGUCUUGGAAUGUUUUCUUUUCUAGGGCAUUGACAUAGGCAAUUGUAAAAGACAAGAUAAAAUUAAGCACAUAUGCUUAGGAGUGCACUAUUCUUUCGGGAAAUUCAGGGAUAUUUCUGGCUUGUACUCAAAACUAUAGCCUUUCUUUUUAUUGUGUUGAAAACUUUGUGUGAAAUUCAAUUUUUUGUGGAUAACUAACUUUGUUUUUAAAGUGGCAUGAUGAAUUCUUAGAUACUAAACUCUCCCAGUAAAAAGUGAACUCUCCCAAUAAAAAAAAUUACUAGGUGGAUGCAAGAAUGGCUGAAGUGGAAACUAGAAUGUUUAGUUUAGGUGGUAUAUUCAUAGGAUUUAAGAGUCAAUUGCAUAGAGAUUUGAUUAUUCUAAUGGCAUAUGAGUAGGAAAUCAUAUUAUGCCUUGCGGUACACAUCUUCAUCCUGGUAAUAGUGUGUUGCCCUAUAUCAUCUUUUCACUUGGCAUUUGGUUUUUGUGGAAUUAGGGUUGGAAGUAAGUUUGGAAUUCAGGCCCCAAGUUCCAAUUCUCAUUCCAUUGAUUGAUUUUUGUAAAUGUUGGUGUAGUUGUGUUUGUUAUGGAAUGAUGAUUCUCCCGUUUAGCGCUUUUUGAUUCUACUUCUGAAGUAUGGGGGAUCGCUAUGUUGGGUCUCGCCUCAUUUAUGAAUAAAGGAGGCAAGAAUACUUGUUGCAGUUGGGCAUGCCAAUGUCAAAAUUGGCUUGCUGCAAUUCAAUGGCCUCUUUGUGGAGAAAUGGUAUCCAAAACCUGAUGAUGAAGAUGAAAAGGAAGAUGACCGCAUUUUGUCAAAAGUGGUUGUAUGGUGCAGCAACUCCACCAACCUUUUGAUAAGGAAAAAGAUGCUGAUUUUUAGAUGGAAUCUCCUAUAAAAGUGGUACUUCCCCUCUGUUGUGGUGUACACAAAAAAAAAAAAAAAAAAAAAUAGAGUGAAGAUAUAUUUGUUAGUACACUGUGAGUGUGUAUUAAGGUGAGUGAGUUGAGUUAAUUGUAAUUCGCCUCCUUCACUGUAUACCCAUAUUUAUAUAUAUAGUUAAAUUACUCCUCUCGUAGACGUAGUCAAAAUUGGCCGAACCACGUAAAUAUUGUGUUAUUUGUGUGUAGGGCAUUUGAUCUUGGGUGGGAUUUAUAUCCUAACAAUUGGUAUCAGAGCUACUAGUUUAUCGUCUCUUUGGCUGGUUUUACUUUUUUUUUUAUAUUAAUAUCGCCUUGACGGCAAGUUUUAUUUCUGUGUAUCAAUGCCGCCUUAAUGACAGGUUUUAUUGAUGUGUAUUGAUACCGCCUUCAUGGCUGGAUUUAUUCUUAACCUUUGAGAUUAUACUGCAGCAACAUUGUUCAUUGUAGUUGUUCAUGUACAGUACUAGAACAUAUUAAAUGGAGGAAAGUUCAAGUCUUGGGAGCAGUUCCAUGAUCAGACUUACAGAGAUAAAUUAUUCCAUCUGAAAGACAAUGAUGGAAGAUUUGUUGUACUGUAAAAAUCUGUUCGAUCUCAUUGAAUGCAAAUGGAUCAUGCUAAUUGGAAAAACUGAGUCUAAUUGGAAGAAGCUCAACAGAAAAGCUGUAAGUGUUAUAAGACAAUGGGUUGAGACGAGGGCAAUUCGUGAUACAGCCAAAGAAACGAAUGCCUACAAACUUUGGCAACAUCUGGGAGAGAUGUACGAGCCAAAGAAUGCCCAGUACAAAGCCUUCAUGAUAAGAAGAUUUGUGAAUUUAAAAUUAUAUGAUGGACAAAAUGUUUCAGAUCACUUAGAUAAAUUUAAUGAAAUUUUUGAUAAUAUGGCAAGUAUGGAAUUAACUAUUGCGGAUGAAUUUCAAGCAUUGAUUUUCCUAAGUUCAUUACCAGAUAACUGGGAGUCACUGGUGGUAGCUCUCAGUAAUUCAACACCAAAUGGAAAGGUAUCCUUGGGCAUGGUGAAGGAUAGCAUCACAAGAGAAGGCAAGAGAAGAGCUGAGCAAGGCUUGCCCACUCACUCUCAAGGACAAGUGAUGGUUAUUGAAAGGGGUAGAAGCAGAUAUUCUCAAGGAGACAAGAAGAACUGAGGCAGGUCCAAAAGCAGAUCAAAGUCAAGGGGUAACUUCACUUGUUAUUAUUGUAACAAGUUUGGACAUGUAAAGAAGGACCGUUUGAAAUGGAAGGCAAAACAAACCAGCGAAGACAAGAAAGAGGACGACAAAAGUAGUGCAGCUGUGACUUAAGGUGAAACUUACGUGAUGUGCGGGGAAGGACGCGUUAACCUCACUUGCCAAGACACAACAUGGACGAUUGACUCUGCAACAUCAUUCCAUGUAACAGCACGGAGAGACUUCUUCUCAUCUUACAAAUGCGGUGAUUAUGGAUUUGUUAAGAUGGGAAAUGAAGUCAAAUGCAAAAUUGCUAGUAAAGGAGAUGUGUUGAUAGAAACAAAUGUUGGCUGCAAGCUACUAUUGAAGGAUGUUCGGCAUGUACUUGACGUUCGCCUUAAUUUGAUCUCCACAGGUCAACUUGAUGACAUUGGUUGUGAAAGUUAUUUCGGUAAUGGAGUCUGGAAGCUUAAGAAAGGGAAUUUGGUGGUGGCCAAAGGAAAGAAGGAUGCUAGCUUAUAUUACACUCAAGCUAAGCAACUCUGUGUAGGUGAUAUGAAUGCUAUAGAACAUGAAGUCACCACUGAGUUAUGACAUAGCAGACUUGGCCACAUGAGCGAGAAGGGAUUCUAGAUUCUUGCAAGGAAAAAGCUUCUUCCAAAUUUCUCAGGUAAUUCUUUAAAGAAUUGUACUCAUUGUUUAGCUGGUAAACAACAUAUAGUUGCAUUUCGAAAGAACCCCCCAUUUAGGAGAAAGAAUAUUCUAUAUCUGGUUCCUACUGAUGUGUGUUUUAUGAAUGAUAAAAGUAUUGGUGGAUCAUUGUAUUUUGUUACAUUCAUUGAUGAUCACUCUAGGAAGGUAUGCUUAUCCUUUAAAAAGUAAAGACCAGGUGUUAGAUAUGUUCAAGAAAUUUCAGGUCAAUGUUGAAAGACAAAGUGGAAGAAAGCUCAAAUGUGUUCGUUUAGACAACGGUGGUGAAUACAUUGGGCCAUUUGAAGAGCAUUGCAGAGUCCAUAGUAUCAGGCUUGAGAAGUCCGUUCCCAAGACGACUCAACACAACGGUGUUGCAGAAAGAAUGAACAGAACUAUCUGCAACAAGAUUAUCUGCAUGCUCUCUCAUUCAAGGCUGCCAAAAUCCUUCUGGGGCGAGGCGUUAAUUACAACAGUUAAUCUUAUCAACAUUUCUCCUUCAGUUCCUUUAGGAGAUGACAUUCUUGAAAGGAUCUAGAUUGGGAAAGAUGUAUCCUAUAAACACUUAAAGGUGUUUGGUUGUACAACUUUUGUCCAUAUUCCUCGAGAUGAAAGGACCAAACUUGAUGCAAAGACAAAAGAGUGCAUCUUCAUCGGUUAUGGUAUUGAUGAGUUCGACUGCAGACUAUGCGAUCCAAAGAAUAGGAAAGUCAUCCGAAGUAGAGAUGUGGUGUUCUUUGAAGACCAAACUAUUGACGAUUAUGAGAAGGCCGAUAAUCCAAAACAUGUCCUUGGGAAUCCAAUCAAGUUGAUCCAAAUUCACCGCCAUAGCCACAAAAAGAGCAUGACAAUAACGGGGAAGUUGAUGAACCAAUAACUGAAGGUGAUCAAGAAGCUCCAGUAGCAGAGCCCCAAAUAAGAAGAUCUGCCAGGUAGCGUCAACCUUCUAGUGGAUACUCAACAAAUGAGUAUGUAUUGCUAACUGACGGGGGAGAACCAGAAUGUUAUGAGGAUGCCAUGUCACAUGAGCACCAGACUGAGUGGUUGAAGGCCAUGCAAGAAGAGAUGAAAUCCUUGCAUGAGAACCACUCUUAUGAUUUGGUAAAACUACCAAAGGGAAUGAAAGCACUUAAUAACAAAUGGGCGUUUAAAUUGAAAAAUGAAGAAGGAAACUCACAACCAAGGUACAAGGUGUGACUAGUUGUGAAGGGCUUCGAUCAAAGAAAAGGCAUCAACUUUGAAGAAAUUUUCUCGCCUGUGGUAAAGAUGUCAUCUAUUCCAGCUGUUCUCGGAUUGGCUGCCAGUAUGAACUUGGAGAUUGAGCAGCUUGAUGUAAAAACUGCAUUUCUCCAUGGUGAUUUGAAAGAAGAAAUCUACGUGAAACAACUUGAAGGAUUCGACGUCAAAGGAAAAGAAUAGUUGGUGUGCAAAUUGAGAAAGAGUUUGUAUGGUCUCAAGCAGGCACCAAGACCGUGGUACAAGAAGUUUGAUUCCUUUUUUAUGGAGCACAGGUAUAGCAAGUUCACAUCUGAUCCCUCUGUUUUUAUUAAGAGAUUUUCUAACAAUGAUUUCAUUAUUCUUAUGCUUUAUGUGGAUGAUAUGUUGAUUGUUGGUUGUGAUACUAAGAAGAUAGAAAAAUUGAAGAAAGAACUAAGCAAAUCCUUUGCAAUGAAGGAUUUGGGUUCAACAAAACAGAUUCUCGGAAUGACGAUCUUUCGACAAAGAAAAAAUAAAAAGUUAUGGUUAUCUCAAAAACGGUAUAUUGAGAACGUGCUAGAAAGAUUUAACAUGAGCAAAGCAAAUCCAGUCAGUUGCUCACUUGCAGGACGCUUCAAGUUUACUUUCAAGCAAUAUCCUACAAGUGAAAAUGACAAAAAAUAAAUGAAGAAAGUGUCUUACUCUUUAGUUGUGGGUAGCUUAAUGUACACCAUGAUAUUGCUCAUGCAGUUGGAGUAGUCAGUUGAUUCCUUUCUAAUCCUAGCAAAGAACAUUGGGAAGCGGUCAAAUGGAUUCUUAGGUAUCUUAGAGGUACUUCUCAUUUAUGUUUAUGUUUUGGUCAUGACAAACCUAUGUUUGAAGGUUAUAUAGAUGCAGACAUGGCCAAUGACGUUGAAUCCAGAAAGUCUGUUUCGGGAGACCUGAUGACAUUUUCAGGGGGAGCAAUGUCGUGGCAAUCAAAGCUACAAAAAUGUGUUGCAUUGUCCACUAUUGAGGCAGAGUACAUUGCCAUCACUGAAGCAGGCAAAGAGCUUCUAUGGAUGAAAAAGAUCUAGAGGAAGUUGGCCUCAAGCAAGAGAAGUAUGUUCUCUAUUGUGACAGUCAAAGUGCUAUUCAUCUCAGCAAGAAUCCAAGUUUUCAUUCAAAGUCAAAGCAUGUUGAUGUUCGAUACAACUGGAUUUGUGAAGUGUUGGAAUCAAAGUAGAUAAGUAUAGAGAAGAUACUAAUGACAAUGCAUCAGACAUGAUGACUAAGACAACGUCCAAGUUAAAGCUCAAAGCUUGUGGAAUCGCAACAGGUUUGGUGGAACUCUUCGCAUGAGUCGGGCGAGGAAGAUUUUUUGGGGCUCGCCUUAUUUAUUAAUAAAGGAGGCAAGAAUACUUGUUGCAGCUGGGCAUGCCAAUGUCAAAAUUGUCUGGCUGCAAUUCGGUGGCCUCUUUGUGGAGAAAGGGUAUCCAAACUUGAUGAUGAAGAUGAAAGGGAAGUUGAUUGCAAUUUGUCAAAAGUGGUUGUUGUUUGGUGCAGCAACUCCCACCAACCUUUUGACAAGUAAAAAAUGCUGAUUUUUGGAGGGAAUCUCCUCCUAUAAAAAGGGUACUUACCUUAUGUUGUGAUGUACUUUAAAAAAACACAAAUUGAGAGUGAGAGUGAAGAUAUAAUUAUUAGUACACAGGAGUGUGUAUUAAGGUGAGUGAGUUGAGUGAAUUGUAAUCCUCCUCCUCAUUCACUGUAUACCCAUAUAUAUAUAUAUAGUGAAGUUACUUCUCUCAUGUGGACGUAGGCAAAAUUGGCAGAACCACGUAAAUAUUGUGUGUUAUUUUUUGUGUGGGGUAUUUGAUCUUGGGUGGGAUUUAUAUCCCAACACGCCAUUCCUUUCCUGCCUAUUUUGUUUGAAGAGCUUUAGACCUUCAAUGGUUACGCCCUUAAAACCUACUAGAUAAGCUCCCUCUUUUUAUGAUCUCUUUAAAUGCAUGCCCCCUAUGGUUCAACUUCUUCACUCUCUCAUCCACUAUUAUUCUAGUAACCGCCUUUAAUGGUCUCUUUAAAUGCAUGCCCUAUGGUUCAGCUUCUUCACUCAUCCACUAUUAUUCUAGUUACCACCUUCUAAGCAGUUGUUAAUCUAUUGAGAUUUUGUGGUCUUGCAUGCUACUGUUCAUCAACUUAAGAAUGCGCAAGAGCCUCUAAUGCGUUAGAUUGUUUUAUGCUUGGAUUGUUGAAGUUUUGAGAUAGAUUAUGAGUUGAGCCAAAAGAUUUUAGGUUAAUGUGAUAUUUUUAGUUAUCCUGUUCUGAUAUUAGAGUCUUGUAAUUUUUUGCCCCUUUUCUUGGUGGCAAAUGUAUCACUGUGUCUUAUUAUUAUUACAAACUAAGUUUCUAAUUUUUCUGGUGGAUGUUCAAUCUUAAUAGAUGCUGCGGGAAAAUUUUUUAUAUGAGAUUAAUUUUUGGAAUUAAACACAAAUCAUGAACUACGAAUUUGUUCCAUUUUUGCCACCAGUCAAUGAUAUCAAACGUUGGGAAUGAGUACUGCAAUUUCUAUGUGAGUAUCCAAAUGCAAUCUCUUUUUGAAGCUGAUUCUAUCCUUGCCUUAGAUCCCAUUGGUUUGUCCGAUUUACAAAUUUAUUUUAUUGGUGUAAAAACUCUGGUUGUUUUUGUGGGUUGCGGACUUCUAUAUAUUAAUUGGGAAACUAAUGUUUCUUUCAAAUGUUAAUGUAGACUGUAGAGGGAAUUUUCAAUGUGAUACAUUUUUCUGUUAGCUUUUUGUCUCCUGUUUCCUUCGGUAAUUGUUCAAACAAUAUUUUUAGUUUAAAUAUAUUAACAUGAAGUAUGAUUUGUGGAUUGGAGGUGGUUAGAAAACAGCCUUUCCUAUUAUUUUAUUUUUUAAAAAUGAAUUUAGCUGAAAAUAGUGUAUUCUAGUGUGUUGUCUCGAACCAGCACUAGGCUCCAUUUUCAAGAAAACUUUGUGCAUAUGUUUAAUGUAGGAAAUGAUUUCAAAUAAAAUUUGGUGAGAAUGCCUGUUUGUUGGUUUAUGAAACCAAGUGAUCCUUGAUUUGGAGAAAUUACAAAUGAUAAUCCUAUUGAAUGCAAUCUAAACAAACUCCUUGCUCUUUAAAACGUAUGAUUGGUUUGGGACACUGGCCUAGGCUUAUUUUAUUUGUAGUUCCGUGAUCAACAUGGUUUAGCUUGUGCGCAUUGUCAAAUUGGUAGGUUCAGUGGGUUGAAUUUGAUGUGGGAGUAUUUGGCAUUAACAAGUUUGUGAUAGACGUCUGUUCCUAAAUAAAUUAAUAAACUUUUGUAGCAUUUAUUAAGAUUUGAAAUGUUACGUACAUUUAGAAACGCUGAUUAUGGUAAGUGAUGGUAGCCAGCUGCCUUGCCAUGUUUGGAGGUGUUGGUAGCUGUUUUAAAGACAAAUAGCUUUGUUACGUUUAACCUUGAACCUUUGUAUUUUAUACAGUUGUAGGACUUGAAAAUUGAUGCAAUUGUUUUUUAUUCUUCUGUGAAAAAUUAAAAAAAUAAUGAGUGAAAGUUAUUUUCUGCAACUAAAUAGGUGUGAAUGUCUUGAACUAAGCAGUGAUAAAUUUAGUGUGCUUUGCAUAUAUUGUUAGUUCAUUUUUCUUAUAUAUUGGUGAAUAAAAACCAUAGAAUAUAUAUUAUCUAUUCACAAAUUUUUUUAAUAAUUGAUGUACCAGCCGAGUUCUUGUUUUGGCAACUUGGAUUGGUUCAUAAAAUUUGUUCAACAACAGUUUAAAUAAUGUUUUCUAAAUGAUUCCAAAUUGUCUCUUAAAGAAAAAAUCUAAACUGUUUAAUUGGUUUGGUCCACACCAUUGUGCAACCAACUUUUCUGAACUCUAUGCUGUGCCCUUUGUAUUAAAAAAGACUCUUUGUGCAAUUCAUAAUUGUAUCAAUUGAAAAGCUUUCUUUUGUAAAUUGAAAGGCUGCCUUUUUUUUUUUUUAAUAUUUUUUUAAAAAAGAUGAAUUAGUAAAUAAACGAGCUAGAUUUAAGCUUAUGGGAUACCUAGUUUCGAAAGUUUUUAUUCUAAGAAAUUUUCUUGAUCACAUGUCGAGGUUGUAUUUUUUUUAUUUUUAUUAUUUUAAAUGAAUGCUAUGUUGUUACUUUAUUUUUAAAAUUUUCAGCAUGUGUAUACAGAAGCUAGUUAGAAGGUUUUACAAUUUUUAUGUAAAAAUGUUAAAAAGUUUCAAAAUGAGGUUGUAAUCUAGUAAAUACCUUAAAAACAAAAUUUGAAAAAUUGUAAAUUGGCACUUCCUCUGUCUGGCACAUUGUUUGCGCAAGGUUUUAAUUUAUGUAGUUGAUUAUUGGUUUGUUGGUAUCCCGCUAAUGCUUUCUGUUUCCAAGUGCGUGUGUUGUGUUUUGCAAGGUGUAGGCUGCGAGGAUAUAGUUUAUGAUAUUUGUAUUUGGUAAAUUUGGCCACUUGUCUUUAGCUUAUUUGCAGUGGCUUUCCUCUGCUCCAAGAUAUCCAAGGAAUCUCCGUUCUUGCCGCCCUGCCCGCGCAUUGGCGGAUAUCUAUGACUAUUGAUUGAGAUGCCUCUUUUGAAGUUACUUGCAUAUUUGUGAUGUUCAGCUAUGGAUGUGGUUGGCAGACUUGGUUUGAAACAAUAAAUGUCACUAUUGUUCUUACCUAGUUGUAUUGUUAAUUUUACAUUUGACUGUAUAAUCAAUUAAGAAUAAUUUUUUUUUGGAAUAUUGGUUUUGCUGCUGUUCCCCA
This is an RNA transcript of Malania oleifera, 15442 nucleotides long. RefSeq lists it as uncharacterized. The transcript has 9 exons. The record is from RefSeq and is a predicted model, not a curated record. NCBI's taxonomy places the organism in Eukaryota, Viridiplantae, Streptophyta, Magnoliopsida, Santalales, Ximeniaceae.